UCAGUUCAGAGAGAGGAGAGAGAGGAGAGGGAGAAGGAGAGGGGGCAGAGAAGGGAAAGAGGGAGAGCAUGCGAGACGGGAAGGAGCGCCUGGAGUCUCUGAAGCACGAAAGAGAUAACCGAUUAGGAAUUUGUCGGGCAACAGUCACCCGGGAAAGCAGCCAGAGAAUUACCAUCACCCCAACUCUGACGUUUCCUACCAGAAGUUAGAGACUUAAGCAGUAUUGACAUCAGAUGGAAAUGGUAUGCUCGAUACUGUGGGAAAUACUCCUGAGCUGAAGAAGUGCAACUGGAUGGUGUGUGUGUUAAAUACCAGAAGAGCCCAGACCCAGUGGGUAAUAGAGACGAAAUGUGGAGAGAAUGACUAACGACAAAUCUGUGAAUUUGUUCUCGGGAGUUGCUAAUUUGCCAGCCUGAAGCCACACAUUUUACAAGGAGAAAACGUUUUGCUGCUUCUGAUUUCUCCCCAAACUGGUGCUACCAGAUGCAUGGCUUUCUAUGUGUUGGAACAAAUCAUUCCUAACUGCAGCAUAUCAGGAAAGGGGAAAGGUUGAGGCAACUAACUGGCUGUCUCCAAAUAAGCGAUGAGAUGUAAUGCAUCCUCCAGUCCAUGCACACUUCCUCUUGCAAUUCGUGCAUCCCUCAGUGGAAACCUUUAAACCCUAAAAUCCAGGAAAAGAAAAUAAAUACAUUAUCAUGGACCUGAGGGAUUUUUACCUGUUGGCUGCUCUGAUUGCCUGUUUAAGGCUGGAUUCCGCAAUAGCUCAAGAACUUAUUUACACUAUUAGAGAGGAAUUGCCUGAAAAUGUGCCCAUAGGAAACAUACCAAAGGAUCUGAACAUUUCUCACAUCAAUGCUGCCACAGGGACGAGUGCCAGCCUUGUCUACAGACUGGUUUCUAAAGCUGGGGAUGCCCCUUUGGUGAAAGUAUCCAGCAGCACUGGGGAAAUUUUCACAACCUCCAAUAGAAUAGACAGAGAAAAACUCUGUGCUGGAGCUUCUUAUGCUGAGGAAAAUGAGUGCUUCUUUGAACUUGAGGUGGUGAUCCUCCCCAAUGACUUUUUCAGGCUGAUCAAAAUAAAGAUAAUUGUCAAGGAUACCAAUGAUAAUGCCCCCAUGUUUCCAUCUCCUGUCAUCAAUAUUUCCAUUCCAGAAAACACUUUGAUCAACAGCCGCUUUCCAAUUCCAUCAGCAACAGAUCCUGACACAGGCUUCAAUGGUGUACAGCAUUAUGAAUUGCUAAAUGGGCAGAGUGUUUUUGGACUGGAUAUCGUGGAAACUCCGGAGGGAGAGAAGUGGCCACAAUUGAUUGUUCAGCAAAACUUGGAUAGAGAACAGAAAGAUACCUAUGUGAUGAAAAUCAAAGUGGAGGAUGGAGGCACUCCACAGAAAUCCAGCACAGCCAUACUGCAGGUCACAGUAAGUGAUGUAAAUGACAACAGGCCAGUGUUUAAAGAGGGUCAAGUGGAGGUGCAUAUUCCAGAGAAUGCUCCUGUAGGUACCUCUGUAAUUCAGCUCCAUGCCACUGAUGCAGAUAUAGGCAGCAAUGCUGAAAUCCGGUACAUUUUUGGUGCCCAGGUCGCCCCUGCAACCAAAAGACUCUUUGCUUUAAAUAAUACUACCGGGCUGAUUACAGUUCAGAGGUCUUUAGAUAGAGAAGAAACAGCCAUUCACAAAGUGACAGUGCUGGCUAGUGAUGGCAGCUCCACUCCUGCUCGAGCAACGGUUACCAUCAAUGUCACUGAUGUAAAUGAUAACCCUCCAAACAUAGACCUCAGGUACAUUAUAAGUCCCAUCAAUGGCACUGUGUAUUUAUCUGAGAAAGAUCCUGUCAAUACAAAAAUUGCCCUAAUUACAGUUUCUGAUAAGGACACAGAUGUGAAUGGCAAAGUGAUCUGUUUUAUUGAAAGAGAGGUCCCCUUUCACUUGAAGGCAGUCUAUGACAACCAAUAUUUGUUAGAGACCUCUUCUUUGUUGGACUAUGAGGGCACCAAAGAAUUCAGCUUUAAAAUUGUUGCCUCUGAUUCUGGGAAGCCCAGUUUAAAUCAGACUGCCCUGGUAAGGGUUAAGCUUGAGGAUGAAAAUGACAACCCACCAAUUUUCAACCAGCCUGUAAUUGAGCUGUCAGUUUCUGAAAACAACCGACGUGGGUUAUACUUAACAACUAUUAGUGCCACAGAUGAAGACAGUGGGAAAAAUGCAGACAUUGUUUAUCAGCUUGGACCGAAUGCCUCCUUCUUUGAUCUGGACCGAAAGACAGGAGUUUUGACAGCCUCCAGAGUCUUUGACAGAGAAGAACAAGAGCGAUUCAUUUUUACAGUAACUGCCAGGGACAAUGGGACCCCUCCCCUCCAAAGCCAAGCGGCUGUGAUAGUUACUGUUCUGGAUGAGAAUGACAAUAGCCCCAAGUUUACUCAUAAUCACUUUCAAUUUUUUGUGUCUGAGAAUCUGCCAAAGUAUAGUACUGUGGGGGUAAUCACAGUGACAGAUGCAGAUGCUGGAGAGAAUAAAGCUGUGACUCUUUCCAUUCUAAAUGACAAUGAUAAUUUUGUGCUGGAUCCUUAUUCUGGAGUCAUAAAGUCAAAUGUCUCAUUUGAUAGAGAGCAGCAGAGUUCCUACACUUUUGAUGUCAAAGCCACUGAUGGAGGACAACCACCUCGUUCCUCUACUGCAAAAGUAACUAUCAACGUCAUGGAUGUGAAUGACAACAGUCCAGUUGUCAUCUCUCCACCAUCUAACACUUCCUUUAAGUUGGUGCCCCUCUCAGCCAUCCCUGGCUCCGUGGUAGCAGAAGUUUUUGCAGUGGAUAUUGAUACUGGAAUGAAUGCAGAACUUAAGUAUACAAUAGUGAGUGGGAACAACAAAGGCUUAUUUCGGAUCGAUCCGGUAACAGGUAACAUCACCCUAGAAGAAAAGCCGGCACCUACCGAUGUGGGCUUACACCGUUUGGUGGUCAACAUUAGUGAUCUGGGGUACCCCAAGUCUUUGCACACACUUGUGCUUGUAUUUCUUUAUGUUAAUGACACUGCUGGGAAUGCCUCCUAUAUCUAUGACUUGAUCCGCAGGACUAUGGAGACCCCACUGGACAGGAACAUAGGGGAUAGCAGCCAGCCCUAUCAAAAUGAAGACUAUCUCACCAUCAUGAUUGCCAUUGUCGCAGGGGCCAUGGUGGUCAUUGUUGUAAUUUUUGUCACUGUUCUGGUGCGCUGUCGCCAUGCGUCCAGGUUCAAAGCAGCUCAGAGGAGCAAGCAAGGUGCUGAAUGGAUGUCCCCAAACCAGGAGAAUAAACAAAACAAGAAAAAGAAAAGGAAGAAAAGAAAGUCUCCCAAGAGCUCUCUUUUGAACUUUGUUACUAUCGAAGAGUCCAAACCUGAUGAUGCAGUUCAUGAACCUAUCAAUGGGACAAUAAGCCUGCCAGCUGAGCUUGAGGAGCAAAGUAUAGGAAGAUUUGACUGGGGCCCAGCACCUCCAACAACCUUCAAGCCUAACAGCCCUGACCUGGCCAAGCACUACAAAUCUGCCUCUCCACAGCCUGCUUUUCAUCUCAAACCAGACACUCCAGUUUCCAUGAAAAAGCACCAUGUGAUUCAGGAGCUCCCUUUGGACAACACCUUUGUCGGGGGUUGUGACACCCUUUCCAAACGCUCUUCCACUAGUUCAGAUCACUUCAGUGCCUCAGAGUGCAGUUCCCAAGGAGGCUUCAAGACAAAGGGCCCCUUACACACCAGACAGUGUAACUCACACAGCAAAAGUGACAAUAUUCCUGUCACUCCUCAGAAUUAUCCCAGCUCUGCGGGUUUCCACAUUCAGGAGAGUGAAGAAAGCCAUUACGAGAAACAGAGUGUCUGCUCUCCUUGUACUAAGGAUCCUAGGGUAAAGUCCUCAUUUGCAACAUAGAGAUGAAUUCAGAAUGUGGUUUUGUGCAAAAAUUCGUUUUCUUUCUCUGGAAAAUCAUCCAUUUUCAAAUCCAAAAUCUGUAACUGAUAAGAUUUCAAAUGGCCAUGCAGUUCAUUUAACUGAGAAUCCUGUUGAAGAGAAUAGUCAUGAGAUGAGUAAAUAUUCACAGACUCAAACACAACAGGUCACAAGAGUGUCAUCUUUCAAGUACAGUUGGGUGAUUUUCACACCACUUCAUAUCUCACCAACACCAGAGGUGUAAAGAAAUGACCUUUCCCCUUGAAAUGCCAAACUGCUGCUUUCAGAGAGACUGCUGUUGCUUCUAAAGAGACAGGUCUCUGCUUCGCUCUUUUGAAGCAUCUGCCAUUGCAAUCACAGGUAAAGUACUUAGCAGGAUGAAGACAGUGCCAUGAGUCUCCAAGGUAGGCUCAGUCUCACAAUGGGGCACUGGGGUUUGCCACCGCCUCAGUGCGUUCAAGCUGCCAGAGCACUUCUUGCAUGCUGAUCUCUUUAGAUAGCAAGACCUUCACUGUCCUUGUUUACAUUCUUAAAGUGAAGCUUUUCUCUCUGCUGAAAGUUUGCAGUCUGACAGCUUUAGAAUUUGAAUUUUUCCAUGUCUUUUCAGAUCAAGUACGGUGGCACUGACAGGAGUUUGCCAUACUGCCUUGUGUUCAUUUUCUGUAAAACUUGGGCUAAAGCCUGGUGCUAACUAUGCUCACCAGCAAGCUGGACCCCAGGACAAAGAUAGCAGGCCGUCCCCAGCUCAUAAGGGACAGCAAUGGCUUUGUACCAGGGGUUGCUGUGAAUGUUUUUAUAUAUCUUUUGAUAAAGUGAGGUCUUAUGGAAAAUGGCUUCAUUCAUAUACCUGAAAGUUUUGAGCAAAAAAUUCUCCUUUCAAUUCCUUCCCUAAACUGAUGCCACUUCAAACAGAUAUUGUUAGAUUGUUUUAAAUGUUGGCAUUGUUUGGAAACUGAAAUUGUUUUCUCUGGGAACCUUGAAUCUAAUCCUUUUCUUUCAUUUGCAUAACAUUAAAUGAUCAGCAUGCAACUUGAUUUCCAUAUAUUCAUUUGUGUAUUCCAAUCUACUACUGAAAUAGAUUGGGAACCUAAAGUAUAGCAGGCCAUAAUAAGUCCAGGCUAAGGGUGUUUGUAAAUUUUUUGAAGUGUGAAAAUAUGUUAUAUUGAAAUAGUUUUGUGUUUCUUUAUGUUAUAGCAAAGCCAACAUUUUAAAUAUAGGGAAUAUCUUAAGGAGGAAGGGUUACAAAUAACCAGGAAUUCCGUGACUAUGACUCCAGAAUAUAGCCCACCACCAAAUCUUCAUGGAUUUUAUAGGUUUUAUUUAUUUGUUUGUUAAUUUAUUUAUUUGUAUGACAAUGGAGACUGACCCCAGAGCCUCAUGCAUGCUAGGCAAGAACUCAACCACUAAGCCCUAUAGUUGUUCUUUCACUGAACUUUUCUCAAAAUGAUUUAGAAAUGCCACCACAAUCAGAUUAGUAUUAACCCAAGAGAGGGAGGAAAGGAAAUAAAGAGUUAAUACUGUGGAUAGAAAUGAAGAAAACUAUGUCAUAUGUAUUUAUGAAUAUGUCCAACUGAUCCCCAGUACUAUGUACAGGUCCAAUGCACUAUUAUUUUUUCAGUAAAACAAAAAAAAAUCACUUAUUUAUAAUUUGGUUGCAAUACCUGUAUAAUUUUACCAGAAACAGUAUUACAUAUUAGCUUAAUCACUAAAAUUCUUCACUAAACUUGUCCUCAAAUGAGUUAUGUUUGUUCCUGAAAACAUAUGCAGAAUUUCUGUCCCCAAGAGCAUUUAAACACUGAAUAGAAAACUCAAACAUAGUUUUUAUUAGAUAUUACAUAAGUCUAAUUACCCUACCUAGCCUAAAUUUUAUCUUUUAACUGUUUCAAGAUGAAGUGUUAUUUAAGCUUUGGCAUUUCAAAAGCCCUUCUUGUUCAAAUGAAAACAUUAAUGAGAAUUAAUAUGAAGAAAUGCCAACUGAAGAAACAAUGAAUCAGCCUGUCUAUUUACUACAACAAAAAGGAAAUGUUAACAACAGUGGAAUAAAACCUGAGUGUCCUGAAAACAGAAGAUUGUCUGCUAAAUUAAAUGUAGUUAAAGUUUGGAUGUCUAAUUAGUGAUUUGGAUAAAAAAGAUUCCUAUUUGUGUUUUCUGCUUUCAAAUACAUAAACCAGCAUGAAUGCUCCUUCUUGCUCUUCAUGAGACUCAUGUAUUACCAAACCUACAAAUGCAGGAAGGUGACAUUGAGCCCUCAGUGAAUGUCUUUGUUUUGAAAAGAUUUUUUGCAAUUUAUCUGAUAUUCAGAACACUGAGUAGUAGACUUCCCAAAACUCAUUUUCACCAGUAAUUACUAUAAAAUAUUAAAUAAAGCUAUAAAGUGAUUAUGUAGACACAAUAAAAUUGAUAUUAGAGGAAGCAGGGGAGAGAAGGGGAAGAGCCUGAUGAGGCUUUAAGUGUCUACUCUGAGCCAGACAUUCUCCAAACCACUGUGAAACAAAAAUCAAUAGAGGCGUGAGGAAUUGUUACCUAAUCAGGAGGCAAACAUGUAAACACACAAUUACAGGAUGAGAGACUUAUUAAAAUAGAAGACAAUAGAGAACCCUGGGAAUAUCGAGAAAGGCAUGGCAAACUCUGUCUCAUGGAGAUUGGUAACCUAAAGAUGGCAGGACAGAAGAGACUUCAAAGGAAUUUUGAAAUUUGAGCUGAUUCUUAAAAAUUGAAGUAGGAGUUAAAAAAUAAAUAAAUAAAAGAAAGAUAAAGAAGAACAGAAGAAUGUAUUCCAUACAUUGCAAAAGUGUGUUUCAAUGCUUCUAGGCUAAAUAUCUAAGUAUUCAAUAAGUUAAUGUGGUUGGACCCAAUGAUGAUAUAUAUGGAUGUGGCAAAAGAAGGAUUUGGAAAAGCCAGAAUGCAAUCUUGUGUGUCUUGCUAAGGAACCAGGACAUUUUAUCUACGUUAUAGGAAGAAAUAAAGUAUUUUAAGCAAAAUUUAUAUGAAUCGAAUUUGAGUUCCACUAAACAAAAUCAAAACCAAAAUUGUUCUAGUGUUAGAAAGUAGCAUCCAAUUUUUUUUUUUUUAGUUGAUAGAGCUAAUUAAUUUAGGGCAUGUCCUCUUAAAUAUCAUCUCAAGGAACUAAAAGGAAAAAGUAAAUGAAAACUGAAUAAAUUUGCCAUGUUUAAAUUGGGGGAAAGGCUGACUGGGCAUGAGUAAUUUAAUUUCACUAUUCACCCUAAUACUAAUAAUAUUUUAAUAAUGUUUCAACAAAUCUGAUUGAAAGAAAGAUUCUAUGCAUUCCCUACACUGAAGUCAUCCCAGGACUUUGAUAGUGCUAUGCUUCUUAGGUUAUUAGAUCUAAGGUAAGGGAUGAACAGGUCAGCAAUUGAGGACUUUUUGUUUUGUUACCUGCUUUGAGGCUUUGUGGCUACUAUUGAGGACAGGACAAGUAAUAUCAGUGUGUCUAUGAGUUUUCUUGAUAAUGGACUACACCCUCAAUAUGUUGAUCACGUUUCCAAAGAAAUAACAUGACAAAAUGUUCUAUGCAGUUUUCAUGUUUGCAACAUUUCUUUUCCCUAUCAAAUAGUACUGUUGAACCUGAAAUCACUUAUCUAGUUGGACUUGAAUGGCCCUAAGCAAAAACAGAAAAGAAAAAAAAAAAGAGAGAGAAAGGAGAUAUAAACAUACAGCCCAAAGUGAGGAAGGGAUUUGUUUACACUUCUGAUGCAUGAGUUUCACAUUAGGGUAUUAAUAAGGGCAAUAUAAAUAAAUGCUUGUAUGUAUUCUCUAGUUCUGUCUGUAAGUUGCUGCUUGAAUAGCACAUUUUUUUUUUUUCUGCAGCAUACAAGUAGAGUGGUUGCUUUUUCACAGACUGCUUUGUAAUUUUAUGACAUUCUUUUCCUCAUCAUAUCCACUCUCUCUUACACACCUAUUGUUAAUCCAUAACAUUUUUUUUAAAGUCUUGAUUGCUCAUUUUUUUUUUCUCUGAGGUUUUGGUAAACCAUAUUCCAAUGGGAAAAUACUUAUUUGUUCCAAGGCAAAGUAGACCUUUGAAUAUCAAAACUUAAACAUAUUAUAAAUUUUUGUUAUAGUACACGUCUAAGUAGUCCCUGAUCUCUUCAAAGACAUUGUUUUAAAAAUGCUGCUAAUCCCCCCACAAAUUACCAAUACUCAGAGACUUUAGAAUUGAAGAGAUCCAUGUGAAGUUUUGCUAGAGGAACUCAAUUGGUAUGAUUAAACUCUCAAAAAAUAGAAGCUUAAAAUAUUAAAAACACUAAAACAUUAUAGAAUUAUUGAAUGAUUUUAAAGUGAAGAAGUAGUUUAAGGGGAUAAAUGUUUAUAGGGAACUGCCUGAUUUCUUAAAUUUAAUUAUGUAUUUUUUGAAAGGAAAAUGUUUAAGUGAUUUAUGUGAAAAAAGAAAUAAAUGUCUGAUAUAUGCUCCCUCCCCUCAAGGUAAAUACCAUAUCCUCUCGCCAUAGGAAAAAGCAUAUGUACCUGUUUACUAUGGAAUGCAACUGUAUUAAAAAACAUUUGGCAGGAACAUAGAUGUAGAGAAGAAAAGGUGAUAUCAUAUCUCUGGAAUAAAUAUCAGUAAUAUCCAGAGUAAUAUAUUUACUGGAUAUUCAUUUUUACAAUGGAAAAAAUGUCCCAUUAUCCCCACCCCAAGUUUAUAUCACUUAAUAAUAUGUCAACCUGUGGAAGCCGAAGGAAUAAGAUGGAUAGGGCUAUUAUAAAAAUGUUAAAGGAUAUUCUUGAUGCUCCAAAGGGCAGUGAGAUAAUACACAUAUACUGGCUUUAAAGAUCCACUGAGGGAAAAAUUGUUGCUACAGGUUUCAGAAAAUACUUUCCAGUCAUAAAAGUAGUAUUGUCAAAAGAAGCUAUUUAUUGUGAUUGGUAACAAUUUUCAGGUGAUCAGAGAAACUAAUUAUUACUCUGUUUCACAUUCAUUCUGUCUUACAUGCAUUAAAGCUCCUAUUAUGUUUAUAAGUUAAAAAGAGAUUACCUCCAACUUUCUCACAUUUCCCAUAUGUGUGGAGAAUUUUACUCUUCUUUUACAAUCUCUAAGAUAGUGAUAAAACCUUUAAUUUAAAUAAAUCUAUCAUCUGUCAAGCCUGGUUCUGUGAACUAAAAAUUAUCAAAAUAGUAUCACUUUUUUUGUUUCUCUUUGUACACAAUAUAGAAGUUCAUAAAUUAUUUAUUUACUAUUGUAGAAGGUCAAAGAACUGAGAUAAGAAAAUCCUCCACUCUUGAAUCUGAAAGUAAAACAGUGCAUAUGAAGGUGAAAUCACAUACUUAUGAUUAAAAUGAUCCACCUUUGACUAUUUACCUCUCUAUAGAAAGAAACUGAUGAAGCAUUAUUAUCACAUAUUUUAGAUGUAUGAUUUCAUUUCUUUAUUUUAUUCUUAGAGGAAUUUCCAGAAUUUCUAGUGUUUCAUGGUUCCAAUAGAUCUAAUGUAUAAAAACCAAUGUCUUACAUUUGCCGAUGUAGAUAGGUGUGUAUGUAUGUUUUAUAUUUAUGUAUAUGUAAACACCCAUAAAUUAUUAUCCCCUGUUAAAACAACAGAAAUCUUGGUAGGCAAGUAUGUUAUUCACAAGCCCAACGAUUCAUUUACCUGCCGUGUACAAACCACUUAACUUGACAAGCAUUUCAUUUUUUGUCUCUAAGUUCAGAUAAUAGGAUUUUUAAUAAUAACUAUCUCAUAGACUUGCUGUUAAUAUAGAAUACAUAUAUGUAGGUAUACAUGUAUAUUUAUUUAUUUAUUUGUAAACUGUUUAACAUAGUGUGUGGAAUAAGAGCUAAAUAAAUGUUAGCUAUUAUUUUCAUCCUUAGUUAACUGAAAAACUGGUUAUAUUUCUCUGAUGAAAAAAAAAGUCUAGAGAAAUCAAGAAAUGAGCGAAGGCUACAAAAGUAUAAUUGUACUCUUUAAUAACAGUGGUCCCAUCACAGCAGAUUGGGAGAUUUGCACUUUGUCAGCACUCAGUGCAUAUUAAGGAAACAAUCAAUCAAGGCUUCGUGACAACACAGCUAUUCCUAAUCCAUUAUUCAUUUCUGAAAUUCUAGUUGUAAGGGAAAGGUCUGUAUGUUGGAGCUGAUUUCCCAUUUUUUUUUUCACAUGUUAUUACUUUGUGGUGAAAUAGAGGAGCGAAUUUUCUAUCACGGGCCAAGUCUAUACUUCUGUUGAACAAAAUAAAAUCAGAAGGACCUACAUAAGAGUCAGCUUCAAGUCAACUAUGGUAGCAUUGCCCAAACCACUGUUAUUCCUUUUAUAAUUUCCUCAUGCUUUGUUGAAUAUGAAAGAGAAGAAAGAAGAAUUCAUAGGCAUUUAAUCUUCCACUCUAUAUUUAGAUAUCCAUUUAGAAAGGGCCACAUUCAGUUCGUGGCAUACAUGGUAACAUGCCAUGAAUUGCCUUUAAACACCUAAUUCAUGAACUCCAAACCUCUGCUCCUAGGGGAAAUACGGGGUUGGGUUCCUGGGAGCUUCUGUCCUAACAUUUUCAUAUAUGGAUCAAUAAAUAACCAUUUUUAAUGUAUGUUCUGUUUAAAGAUGUCUUGUUUCACUCAUACAGUUAAUUUGUUAACACUGAACUUGUAAAAGAGCAGUGUGAAUCAUGUCAAAACAAAGUUCAUCUAACAUCCAUAUUUUCCUUACAAUGUGUCAUAGAUUUUUGUGUCCAGAAGCACUAAGCACUUUAACACCAUGCUCAUGAUCUAUACUAAAUUACAAAAUCACAAAAAAUGUAAGAAAUAAGAAGUGGCACUAAAUAGACCUUAAAAAGGACACUCGUUUACAACAUAAGAUUUAAAACAGGAAUGGAGAGCAUUGCCUUGUUCAAACUCUGCUAGGAACACUUAUGUCAGGAGACACAUUUUUCAAAGCUCAGCACAUUUCUGAGAAAGACUUAAAAAUACUAUUGAUUUGGAGAUUAUAAGUAGAUUUUAUCAAGUAGGCAAAUUCACAAACAUAGAAUUCUUGAAUAAUGAAGACUAAAUAUACCUAUAAAAUAAUCUAGUUUAAAAAACUAUAUUCUUACUCUAACAGUGCAAAAAUUACUUAAUAGCAAUAUAAUAGCAAUAAUAUGGAUUUAUUGGAUAUAUGUCAUGUCAGGCACUGGACUAAGCACUCUCUACAUUUAACAACCAUGACUAUACUUCAUUUCUAUAGACAAAUGAAGUUUUAAUGAAAUAAAGCUGUCAUGGUAGAAGUGGACUUACCUGGAUGUAAUUGAAUAUUGCAUUGUUUAUAAUGAGAGGGAUAUUUUAGUGUGUAACAGAUUGGAGUCUUUGAACAUGGUUUGAGCCCUAGGACAGACUUUGUGGCUCUAGGAAUAGUAUCUUACACUUUAGUACUGCUUUGAUCAUUGCCUCUCUUGUUUAAGGAUUUACUUCUUACUUUUGAACAUGCUAUAGAAAUAUAAAAUAACAUGUCUCUCUUUGCAAGUUUUGUGAGGCCACAUUCCUCUCAAUUUUUGGUCAUCUAAAUAAUUUCAUAUUUUUUCUCAAUAUACAUUCCCAUCAAAUAACUAAGGAAUAAUUCCUAUUCUCACGAUUCUUUUAAGUGAGUUUGAAAGUUUCCUAUGUGGUGGGUAGUGUCCGUGACCAGCCUUCUAAACACACUUAUUCCUUCAUGAAUAUGGACUAGGUAAAGAACACCAACAGUACUUUUGGAACCACCUUUUAUAACAGUGUUGACUUGGGAAAGUGCAGCUGCUGGGUGGAAUGACAAAAAUAUUUAUCACUGGUAUAGAUAAUCACAUUCACUUGUUGAAUGGCAGGGGCUAUAUGGGGACUCCUGUAAUUUGGAGGCAUUCCUGGAGAUUUAAGAAAGAGAACAGAAGGACUCUGGAAGCUUUGGAGCUAGGUAGGCAGAAUGAGAAGAAGGAAACAGAUUGAGCUUGGAAGAUAGGAUAGAGGAAGUUAGUAGAGAUUAACAAAGGAAACCAAAGGGAUUCCUAGUUGUUCAGCACAAUUUCUACCUGGAAAGCCCUCUUUAGGCCAAGGACCUUGAGGCCAGGACCUUCCUACGUGACUGGUAUGUCUUUUUCACUGUUGACAAAUAUAGAUGCUGGCUGGUAAGCUAAGUUCUUCACAACAACCAUGGGCUGUGUUUUCUUCAUCUCCCUACUGCUCUGAAGAUUGUUUUUUUUUUCCCCUCAAAUUUUUCAUAUGUAUUCUUGUCCCCAAAAUUUAAAAUUGACAAAUAAAGGAUGCUAAUGAUGGAAAAAAUAAGCUUUCUAAAGGAUUCUCUAUUAUUCUCUUCCUUCUCAAAAAUAAAUUUUAAAAAUUUUAUACAGAUUUAUUAUUCCCUAAACAAUACAACAUAACAGCUCUUUACAUAGCACAUAGCAUUUGCAAUGUGUUAGUAUUUUAAGAGAUCUAGAGAUGCUUUCUAACACAUGAGAGGAUAUUAUAUGCAAAUACUAUGCCAUCUUAACAGCAUUUUAUAGAAGGGACUUGAGCUUUAGAUUUUAGCAUCUGUGGGGGUCCUAGAAUCUGUUCCCCACUAAGGGAACACUAUUUUGUUAUGGUAGCUCAAACAUACUAAGACAAGAAUUUUAAUAUAUUUUUAUUAUGUUGUGCCCCAAAGAGCUCAAAUAUAAAAUUAGUUAAAGAGUUUUUGUUCAAAGUCAGCAAAAUAUAAGAGAAAGGCCAGGGGUGAGUGUGAAUUUAAGCCAGUUUUACUCCAAAACCUAAACUUAAAAUAAGGAAACUACGCAUACUUCCCAUAGAUAUACUUUGGCUUUGAAAAUUUUAUUAUGGAUAUUUAAUUUAAAUAUUUUGCUUUUCCUUUAGAAUCACUUUCAUCUUAAGAAAUUUAUUUGUUGAGAAAUUUUGUAAUUCAUCAAGGCAUAAAUGUAUUGUUACAUGUUAAAUAGGCUCUUUGUAAAUAAAUAUAUCCAUAUUUCUGCCUUAAAGGGAUUCUAUGAGUCUUUAUGAUACAGUCAGGAAUUUUUCAUUGCUUUCUGAGGAGAUUUUUUUCUUCCUAAUGUGUUGAAAUAUUUUCAGGUACUAAUGCUUUUGUGGCAAAUUUCAAAGGAAAGUUGUCUAAGGGCAGCAUGUAGUUUAGAAGAGUUUCUCAAAUGCUUUCCUGUUCUUUGUUACACUUUGUAUUUUUAAGUUCUUUGAAAGUAGGUACAGUUCCUCAUAUUCAAAAAGAUGUUAGAAGAACCUAAACUAGAUUUCUAUUGGUUUAAUUUGACAUUUCUUUGAAAACAUGCAAGUUGGCAGAGACAGGAUUUCCUCAAGCAGGUCCAGAAUUUCAUUUCAGAAAAGACCAAGGUUUGUCUAUAGACUCACUGUUUCAAAGCAUUAACAACGCUGUGAUAUAACUUGAGAAGAACAUAGGGCCUCACACAAGAUAUCUCAAAGAUCAGCUGGGCGUAUUUUCAAAUGAAAGUAUUUCCUAUAAAGGUUGACUCUUUUGUUUGAACUAAAAGUUUCUAAUGUUUCAGCUCAGUGUAUAAUCAUAUCAGAUUUUGCAGAUGUUGAUGUGGAAAAAAAUAAUCAACAGAUAUGGAGGGCAAAACACUGGAAUAUAAUUUUACAUAAGUGGAAGGGAGGGGUCAUUUUGCUUAUUUUUAAAGUAAAUAUUUGUAGAUUUUAAAGUAAUUUACUUUCAUUUAUUUUAAAUGAUGUACAGAACAAAGAAAAUAACAGUCAUCUGUAGCGUGUCAACAUAUAUUGAUGUCUUCCCCCUAUUAACUAACUUUAUAGUAGCAAUAGCAUAUUAACAACAACAUCUAAGUUUUUUGUUUUGUUUUACUGUUGUUAUUCUAUGUUCUUAAGCAGGCAAGAUUUCUGUGCUUCAAGCCCUGCUGCCAUAUUUAGUGACCUGACAUUAUUGUUAUCUUUCUUUGGUAGAUGGUAAAAUGAAAGAAUACCUUUCCUUCCUCCAUUAGCAUAUUAAGUGGCCAAUAGGGAUUGACUCUGUCUUCCCUCACUCCCAGCCAUCUAAGCAGCCUGGUCUAGCAUUCCUUUUAUGUUAAAAUGGCAGCACCCUGGUCAGCAGCAGUCCUCAGCAGUUCAUUGGGCUUUGUCUCUAGGAGCACUGGGAACAUUAUAAGCGGCAUCAGCUGGUAGUUCCUCAUGUUAACAGAGACUUCUUAAAACCUCAUUUCUCAUUGUCAGUCCUAUUCAUAAUUGCAUAUCUCUGUGUCCUGCUUCUUUGACUUGUCCAAAGGACUAAAAAAACAUGUUUUCCCCUGAGGCUAGAUAUAGACUUACUGACUCUUGGAAUCUAUUACCUUUAAGUGGCAUAACUUUUCCAUUUCACUCAUGCAGAAAGACAUUACAAGGUAUGACUUACAAUUAAUUUCUCUAUCUGUCCACCUAUGAUUGUCAUCAUUUAUGUAUGUAUUUAGGACAUCAUCUGUAAAGUUAUCACAUGGGCCCCCUAAAACACUGGCAUGCAUACAUACCAAACAGUGGCUAGAUUACUUACCAAAUCUAAUGGACACUAAGGAAGGCUGUCUUGCAAGCUGUCUUAACAAAUCAAUCAGUGCAAUACAUUGUCAAUAUUAGCUAUGCUGUCACAUUGAAAUGAACACAUGUAUUUUGUAUCUUAUUUGAUAGGAGUGACAAUAGUAGUAUUGGUCAAAGCACAAUAUAGCAGGAUAUUGCUGUGGAAAAGUUAAGUAAUACAAAAAUUUAUAACCAAUUAUUGUAACUUGAACAGAUAAUGUAUCUGGCUAUGUGUGUACUGAAAGUGUAAAUUCAUUAAAAUGUUAAACCUAAGAUUACAUGCAUAAGAAUAUUCAGUAGUGAAGUUACUGUAAACUGUUAAUAACAAAUGAAAGAAAAACAUUUUCUCUCUUUCCAUGUUUUCUAGAAAUUAUGACCUGAAAGUGUAUGGAGUUAUCUAAACUACACACUUAUGAAAGGCUCGAGCUAUAGAGGACUGUUUAUACUUAGAGGACAGCAACAGUGCAUGAACAUUUAUAAAUAAUCCCACAUUCAAAUAAAGAAAUUAUACUUCCCAAGAUUGCAGUUAUUUUUUUAAAGGCAAAUGUUUGAUUAAUGAUGUUUUGACAAAACAAAAAUGGUAUUUCCCUUCUUUGAUAAUAUAAGGAAACAAUAAAAUGUAAUUGGCCCCUUGAUGAUAUCCUGCUGGUUUUGAAAAAAAUGAAGGUAAAAAAUUAGUUGCAGAAGCUAAAGAGCAUUUUAGUUACUUUAAAAUUAGUUGCAGAAGCUAAAGAGCAUUUUAAAUGUUCCAAAUUAUAUGAAUAUAAUAAAAUAUUAACUAUAGCUUAUUUUUAUUAAGGGUUGAUAAUUUUUUUUUAAAUAUUUAUUUAUUUAUUUUUUUUGUUUUGUUUUCGGCGGACACAACAUCUUUGUUUGUAUGUGGUGCUGAGGAUCCAACCCUGGCCGCACACAUGCCAGGCGAGCGUGCUACCUCUUGAGCCACAUCCCCAGCCCAAGGGUUGAUAAUUUUAAUAUAAAUUUAUAAUGUGACCAAAUAGUAGGGGAAAAAUUCUUUGUCAUCAAAACAGUAUCUCUUUUUAUUGAAAUAUUACUUGCUUUUUAGGCACUGGAUUUUGGUGAUAUGCUGAAAAAUUUUACAGGAGAUUUGGGCAUCUUACAAAUUUUGGAAAAGAUAUUAGAGAUGCUAGAAAAAUAAAAGUGAAAACAGAAGCAUAGUCACAAACACAAACACACCCAGAAGAUUUAAAUAUAUAUAGAAAUUACUUGGUAAACAUUUGAAGUCAUAAAAUAUUUCUUUUAAAAUAUUUUAUUGAUAAAUUAUAAUUUUACAUAGUAGUCACUUUCAUUAUGCCAUAUUUGUGCAUGCACAUAACAUAAUUUGAUCAACUUCUUUUUCUAGUAUUAAAUAUGACUUUAAUCAUACUGGAAAUAGAAAAACAACCUAUUAUGGAAUCAAUUUCAUUAUAGAAAAAGCUUGAAAUCAUUAAAGAAUAUUUAAUUAUAUGAAUAUAAUUUUGCAUGAAUCUUUUUCUUGAGACAUCAUUGCUAAAUUUUCCUAAAAGUGAGAUCUUCUUAAUAGCUUAUAUGUAUAAAACUCAGAAAAUGUGUUAGUUUGCCUGGUGCCAUAGCACACGCCUGUAAUCACUGUGGCUUGGGAGGCUAAGAAGGGAGGAUUGUGAGUUCAAGCCAGUCUCAGCAAUUUAGCAAGGUACUUGGCAACUCAGCAAGACCCUGUCUCUAAUAAUAUAUAUUAAAAGGUCUGAGGAUGUGGCUCAGUGGUUAAGCACGCCAAGGUUCAACCCCUAGUACCAAAAGAAAGUGUUAUUUUGACAUAGUUUUAUGUUAGUAUGUUUAGUUUCUAAAAUUUAUUUUUCUGUUCAAAAAAAAUGAUGAAAAUGAUUCAUUUGAAUUUUGAAAUCUGCUUUUAUUCAAUUAUCUUAUUUAUCAGACAACAACUGCAAUGUGUGGUAUUGUGUGUGUGUGUGUGUGUGUGUGUGUGUGUAAGAGAAAGAAAAAUUGAGACAUAGAGAUUGGUGGAAACCCUAGAGAAGGAUCUGAAUUGUUUUUCAUUUACUGUUAUGGUUUUUAUAUAAAGUCAAAGAGAAGGAAAAUGUACUUUAAAAAGUGGUUUAUAAAUUUACUCAGUGGUUAAAAAUUUUGCUCCAUUCUUAGUUACAUGGCACAUGUUUUUCAGAGAUAGAAAUUCAUCUAAUAUACAAAGACUCUAGCUGAGACUAGUCUUUGUAUAUCAAAGACGAGUGCCCAAUAAUUUUUUCAAAUUAAAGAGAAAAAUAGUAAACUAAGGGUAAGUAUAAAAAAAUAAAACAAAUAAAAGGAAUAUAUAAUUUUGGAGGACUAACAAUAUGAAUCAUCUUCCAAAAAAAUGAACUAUAUGGCAAUGUUUACACUAUUUUAUAGGAUAGAAUUAUUUUAUCUUGUAGUAUUUUCCGUGGGUUAUUAAAACCUCUCAUAGAACAUAUUAGCAGUGAAAAAUGGCAUCCAUAACAUCUGUCAGCAAGACAUAAAUAUUCUUAAUUGUUUAACAUAAUAUGUUGUCAACAUUUUAGAUUUUCUUAUAUAUUUUUCCAAGUUCUUUUGCAAUCAUUUUCUAAACGUUUACCCAAACCCUAUUUACUCUGAGAAGGCUCUUAUUCACUGCUUGCACGCAAGCUCAUUUGCUUGGGUUUUAUUUCUUGCCAUUUCCUACCUCCUUCAUUUAUUGUAUAUGUGUUAACAUGUUUGAUUGUAAUGGCCCCAGAAGUAUUAUGGUAUCUUGUUGAUAACUUAUAUUUUACACUCUCUAAAUGCCUGAAUGACAUUAUCCACUAUCAUUGUAUUAAUCCCCACUUUAAGUGUCUAAUGACUGAUAAUGUCAUUCAUGCAUUUACCACCUUAAUCUGUGUCUUAAUGGACCCCUAACUGUUUGCUUAUGUGACAAAGUAUACUGACACAUCAAAAUGUGAUGUUUUAUCCUCUGUUGUAAUUGUUAUUAUUAAAACAAUGCUAUAGGGUACAUUUAAAGGAAACAUUGAGUAUCAAAACUUAAAAUUUUUUCUGAAGGAAAUUGUUCUAUAAUCCAUGACAAAAAGGAUGUCUGUGGGUUUGGGCUUUUUCUUAACAUUCAACUUGUAAGUGCUCUACAAUUUAAAAGCUAUGAGCAUACUAUUUAUGACCCCUUAAAAUUAUGAAAAAAAAGCUCUGUGGAUUUCCUUUUUUUAUGUUUGUGUGUAUUUAAAUUGUAUUUUCAAAAGCCUGGAUACAUAUACCUGUACAAGGUGUCACAAAACAAAAACAACCUUUGCAUGAAAUAAGAUUUUUAGACAUUUUCCAUUCCACAAAGAGUUUCUUUAGACUGGAUACUCAUGCUUAACAUGCUAUUUAGCUAUGUAUAGGAACUUUUAUUAUACUUUCAGUGUUUGAAAUAUUUUUUCUGUCUUAUUUCUUCAAAGUUUAUCCAUUGAUCAAACUGGAAACUAAAUUUGUGUAUAAUGUUAAUUAUGAAGAAUUUGAAAAACAAAAUUAAAUACAAAACUGAACAGUAAUACAUGCAAUUGUGGGGGGUUUAUUUGUAAGUUGUUUAGACUGAAAUUUACCUUGCAGUUAUUUACAGAAUUUCACACACCACCCCUUACAUAUUGUCUUUUUCAAUUUUCUCCAAAUAUUCUUGAAAAUAUGUAUUUAAAAAGUAGACUACUGCUAAGUUUUAGUUAAGUCUUACUUCUGCAGUGUACCAGACACCACUUAACUAAGUUAAGUGAUUUAAGUCAUAACUAAAUUUGUGUGCAGGGUAUCUCACCAAAAGGACAAUUAGUGACUUGUAGUUUCAAUGUAUAUUCAUUUAAGAAUCAGGCAGUGGUAUCAAGGAUCAUAUCUUAAUCCAGUUCCUCUGAGUUAUUCCAUUGACAGACUCACUUUGUGCCUAGCAUGCAUGCACAACUCACAUUAUCUCAUAACAUAGCCUUGUCCAGGAGCUUACAAAUAAGAUGUGGUAUUCACCAUAUCUACUUCUGAAGAUGGGCCACCUGAUAAGCACUCUAUCAUCUCCUUGUGAAAAUGAACCACAUGACCUUCCCUGAAUACCUAUUAAUGUCUAGGGGGGAAGGAAGGUGCUGUUUGGAAUGUCCUCAGAAGUCCAUCCAAUGUAAAUUUGGGGCACUCUUCCUAAAAUAUAUGCAAGUAGAUUCCAGAUUGAAAGCUACAGCAUAUUUUCAUUCCAUGUGGUCUUUGAAAUUUAAUAUGUGUAGACUCUGGUGUUCACUUUAGAAUAUUGCAGUAUGAGUGUUUGUUUGCAAGUGUGAGUGUGAGAAUACUUCUCUAACAGAUUUGGUCUUAUAGAAAAAGUUCAAAUACUUAAAGCAUAUAUUUUUGUUGGUAAUUUUAGGAGGUUUAUAAUAUUUGGGUUUCUCCAUCUGUCUCUCUCUACAUGUAAAACACAACCACUUAAAUCUCAAAGCAGUGAAUGCAGUAGCACUCCUACUUAAUGAAGGCUUAGUCAGAAUUAUCUUUGCUGAGGGCACACACCUGCAUGUAGCUGGCAUCUCAAACCUGAGUCUACCUGAAGUUCACUGCUGAUAGUAAUUGAUUUCCUUCCUUCAGUCAACUUAACAUAGAUCAAGAGUGAAGUGGCACUUGGCUACACGCACAAUCUCAGCAGCUGCAAUUUUGCUGUUGCCUGUCAUACAGAGCACUUCCAGGGUUUCCAUAGAGGCUGGGCAUGUUUCUGAAUUUCAUUUUGAGACACAGACUGAUCCUUCCCUGUUCACUGGAGUUAGGGAGACAUCUUACACUACUCAUACUAAAAAGAAAAUUGCUUCUGAUAUUACCAUUGAAUUCGUAUCUUUCCCUCUCUAUGAAACGUUUAUAAUAGAUUUUAAAUAUUUCCUUCUCAUUACCUUAAUGUUAGGAGAUAACGUUUUAUUUUUAUCUUACAAAUGUUAGGAUUAAUAAACCAAUAAUCAUAUUAUCAAAACACAAAUAUUACUAUGUUGAUUUUAUUUUUUCUUCAAGUUAAACAUAGUUUUAUGCCAUCGUAAUCUAAGAAAAUAAAUACGUAAAUAAAGAGAGAGAGAGAUGAAAUGUCCAUAAUCUCAUAAAUUGUUGAAAAUAGCACAUAGUCUCAGUGGCUAUAACAGGUCAGAUCCUUGGGGGCACUCAUGCUGGUCCUUUUGGAAGUAUCAGAUAAAACCUAAAAUAGUUAAUGAAGAAAAGGAGCAUAAGGGAAGAAGGGGCCAAACAUUGCCCUUCCUUGUUCAAUUUAAAUGACUUUAAAGAUCUAGGGUUUGAAUAACAUUAAAAUUGGUUCAUCAUGUACAUAUUGGGAGAACAAGUCUGGGAAAUAAAUUUUCUUUUGCUAGUGUAAUGUUUAAAACAAGGUCCACAUCAUAAGUAAGCAGAUACUACCCUCAGACACAAUACUGAUAGUGUGAGGAUUUAUUAGUUCAAGAACUAGCUAUUAUAUUAUACGGAAUAAAAAUUAAGGCAAAACACAGUUUUAAAAUAUAAAAUUAAAUGAAACUAUAUUUGAUGUUUGCAGUGUCACAUGGUAUGCUUUAGAAGUCUGUGCUACUGUCCUUGCCUUUCCCAUAUUGUCUUAACUGAGCCCAUCCAUGUUUUAUUUAAAUUAAUGCAAUGAUUUCAUUGCUUCCAAAGUACUUCCCUAAUGAGAAACAUAAAACAAUAAAUAGAUUUAAUUUGGGUGGAUUCAAGCUAAAUCCUAUACUCUGUAGCCAACAUUCCAUGUUCAAUUACAGGUUUAUGUAAAGUACAUGGUAAAUAUUGUAGCCCUUCUAUUAAUGUUUGUAAAUAUUUUGUAAAGCUUACACUGGGUUACAAAUUAGGCAUUCCAAAUAUGGCAUGGUUCAAAAUAAUUAUUGUUGUUUUUAUUUGUUCUAAACUAUGUUGGCUGUGAAACCUGCAGAAAAAAUGUGUUGUGUGAAUAGCUCUAACAUUUUAUAACCUGUGGCUAAUUCUUCAUUAGUAGUACUGUAGUCUAUAUUUAAAAAUAUUAUUUAUUUUCAAUAGCAUAUUAUGCUGUUUGAAUUUAUACUGCUUAUAGUUUAUUUAAUUAAACAUGUGAAAAACAGGCAUGUUUGGAGAAAAUUACAUAAUUUCCAUGCAGUGUUCAUAAUAAAAGAUGCUUGUAAGAUGUUUGUCAAGACUUUUAUAUGUGCCCAUAUUUAUGCAUUCUUUAUUUAGGGAGCUGCAGGCAAUUGUAACACUCAUUAUCAUAACUUUCUUCUUCUUUUUUAUUUUUUUUACUUUGCAACCUCUUAAAGAUAUUCUCUGCCUUUUAAAAAUAUUUGCUUGUGAUUUAAGUGCUCAUGUUUUCAAAUAAAAAAUAAGUUAUCUUUUAAACAUAGAUACUUUUCUCCUACAGUUUUUAUUUAAGCAGCUCAUGAGGCAACAAUUACAUGAGAAUUCAGACUGAGACAAGCCACUAAGGUACUGUUUUCAGAACCCAAGUGGUCUCCACGAAACAGAGCAUCUAGGGGUAUAUUUUCUUUUAACUUGACUUCAUUUCUCCCUAAUUAGUAGUGUGCAAUGUACCAUUGUGAUGUCUGCUUCACCCCCUUGGUUCUUGCACCUCCCCUUGGGGAUUUCCCAGCUGUUUUGCUCUCCUGUUGUAAUUGAAAUCUUACUUGUUCCAGCCUGUAAUUGAUAGUGAACCCAACCAUUUUAUGUUUGUCAUGCAACAGAUGUACAACAGAAACACUCAAUGUGGCAUAUGGAAAAACUGCCCUACUAGAGUGAAAUCAGAUCUGUUCCUAUAUCACAACCCCAUCCUCUGAACAUUUUAUGGUUUUCUCUCCUCCUUACAAGAAUGUUGUUGUUACAAUGGUCAAUAUGAAAGUCAUAAUAUUCAUUUGAUGUGUGGUUAUUCUUCUCCGGCCUUAUGAUAUGACUGUGUCUCUGUAGUAAAGACUAUAUAGAAUAAAAUAGAUUAAUUAACAAAUGAAAUAUGGUUCCCUGCAUAUUUCUUUUGUCAACAUUGGUUAGCAGUUUUAAUUAAAUAAUUAACCUUACAUGAACAAGUCUAUCUCCAUGAAUCAAUCAAGAAAUUUUUCAAUUAAUUGAAUUAUUCACUGUAUUGUUUUAUUUUUAAAUACAGACAUGAAAUGAAACAAAAUCAAUAUAAUUGCAUCUGUACUCAAAAAUCAUAACUUCUGCUUCAUGGAGGAAUAGUAUCUUUAUAAAAUAAUAUAUAGGGCUUUUGAGUAAUUGAUUUUUUUAUCACAGAAUAUAUUCUAUGUUGAAUAGAUGGUACUGAAUGCUUUGUGAUAUUUGUUGGUGAAAAGGUCGGUCGAGCAUUGGAGGAAAAGACCACCAAGAGACCGUCUCAUACAACAGCAAAGGGGUUUAUUGGGGGUCCAGCAUGCUGGGGCUCAGAGCUCACUUCAGAAGAGCAGAGAACAAAGAGCCCCAAGAACCACUUGAGCAGAGUUUAUAUACAUUCUUCAGAGAGGGCAGGGGCUUUACAUACAUCAUAGCCUCCUUUAGCAAAUCAUCAUAUAUCACGGGAAAAUCAAAUAACAACUCUAAAACAUGAUUAGCACAUUCAUUGGCGGGAACAGGUCUGGUGGGGGUGAUUGGUUAGUACUAAGAUAGGUAUAUAUUUAAACUGAUUGGUUGAAGCCCUGAGAUGUGUACGUGCUGAGCUGCACGGUUUCUGAGAAGGGGUGAUUUAGUAACUAGGUGGUCAGGGGAAGAUUUCGACACAUGUCUAACAGGCAGUUCCAGGAAUUGUCUUAACUGCCACAGGAAUUUCAGGCUCUGAGUGCAGCUUGGAAACUUUACAAAACCUGGUCCUUUACAUUUUAACUUCAAUUUCUUUUAUCCUUUCAUUGGUAGACUUUUGUAUGGGUUGUUGGGCCUCAGUGGCUGAACUAAUGUGGAAGGAGACAGUGUGAACUAAGAAGGAUAGGGACUAGAGGAAUUAGUUACAUCACAGGUUAGCCAACUCCCAUUCCAUGUGGAGUGAGAUUUCCAAGGUCAGUAUUUAUGGCAUUAAAACUUCUUGGGUGAGUAGCUAAUGAAGUCUUUUCCUGAAAGUAAAAUAUGCAAGAAAAAUAUUUGGAUGGUUGUGGAUCAGGAAAUGUAAUGAAUAACACUAAUCUAGUUUCAAUAUUCCUUUUAGCUUUUAUUGGAACUGAGAAUGUGAGGACUAGAAUAAAAGGAAAACAUAAUUGAUAAGUGUUGCGAGGCGUGACUGCACAACAUUGAAGGAGGAUCCAAAUCAUACCUUUUGAGCCUCAGUGAAGACAUGAAGGGAUAAUUAGCCAACUAAGGGAAGAAUAAAUGAAUGACUGAGUAUCAGGGAGGUAGUUUUGAAAAAUGAAGAUCUGAUAGCAAGUAGAUAAAAGGAUGGAGAAGUAGAAGCAGAGAAUAAAGUCUUUUAAAAUAUCCAGGUAAGAUACCAGAUGAAAAAGACAAUAGCAAGAGAUCAUGGGAAUAUCCAAGGAGCACCCACUGCAUGGGAAGAUGUUUCAGAGGUAUAAUUGCCAUGACUUUCUGCCAUGCUCCAUGAAAUGUGAAGGAAAGUAAAAGAAGAAAAGAACCCAGAUAUUGUAGUCUGACUAACUGGAACCUGUUUUAACAUUAAUAAAAGGGGAAAGAUAUGGGGAAGAUAAAACAAAAAAAAAUUUAGUGAUAAAGAGAUUUGGAACAUUAUAUCCCAUAAUAUCUUGGGGACAUAAUAUCUAUCUUUUGUUGAUAUAUCUGGAUGCAGUGUAAAGUAAAUAUUUAGAAGUAGAAAUCUAGAGUCCAAGGCAGAGAAAUCUAAUUGGACAUAAACAAUAAAAGUGAUUAUGGUAUAUUAAAAUGUUAUAUAAUAUUUGAACAUAUUUCAGAAUCUUCUAUAAGACAUUUUAAAAAUAAAUGUUAAGAUAUUUUAACAUACUAUUAUUUUUAAAGUGUCUUAAUAUUCUUCAUCCUUUGGGAUAAAUAACUUUGUAUAAAAUAUAGUAGGAAAAUGAUUAAAAUUGUAUUAUUAUAUUCAGUUUACAGAAGUACAGAUCAGAUAAUAAUUUGAGAAUACUUCUUUGCAGGGGUUCUAAAUGCUGUGCUCUUUGUUCUGAAUUAUUCAAAUAAGUGACAUUAUUUUCAAAGUGAUCAUUUCUCCAUUUUGAAUAAAAGUCUGCUACUAGAGAUUACAGCAUCAUACAUUAUAAACAGAGCAGAAAAAUGAGUUUCUCUAAAUAAUUCUAGUACAUCAUAUUUUCCCUUUAAGUAAAAAAAAACCUGACACUCGCAUUUAGCUAUGUUUGUAAUAAUACAUGGCCAUAAACACAUACAUUUUAUUUCAAUUGUAAUAUUAAAAUACAAACAUUCACAUGGGUCUUUAUGUACUAUAGUUUUUCAUGCUAGCAUGAAAAAUUGUGUUAAUAUUUGUUUAGUUUUAAUGAGGUAGAACAAAGGAUUGUAAAAUACAUCAUAUGCAUUUUAUCUAUUAAUAUCAAAGUGAUUUUUCUUCUAUUGAAAAUCUCACUAAAUUUAGAAUUAUUCUUAAUGCAUAUUUGAAUGUGUACAGAGUAUUUUAUUUUAUUUAUUAUAAUAUUGGAACUUACAUUUCUCCAAACCUUCAUGAGAUAAAUUUUCUUAAAUAUGAAUAUUUCCUAAGAUUAGAAUAAAUAAAAAUAUUUCUGCAAAUAUGAAGGUUGAAGAACAUGGUAUUGCUGAGUUGAUUUUACUAAAUUAUAUUUCUCAAAUUGCUGAUGUGUACUUAGAGAAGGCCUUUAAUGGAAAAAGUGAGACUGUAGUGCACUAGUUAGACUGUAGUGCACUAAGUUUACAGAAAACUGAAAGAUGAGAAAAGGAUAAUAUGGAAUGAAAUAUAUGUGUUCUGUAUAUAAAUAUAUUUUAAACUGGAAGUCAUAGAAAUAAGGGCAAAAUUGGAAAAUUUGGCAUAGUGGAUUAAUUUCAUUUUAAAUUUUCCAUGCUUUAACUUUAAUUUUUGGUGUUUAAUUUUUUAUUUAUGUUUCAAUGAAAAUGCAGUGUUCAAUUUCAUUUGCAACAUCUUCUUAAUACUAUUGCAUUUUCUGGCACAUUUUGAUUAAAAUGGCAGAGAGAGAAGCACUUGGUGUUCAUUUCCAUGUAUAUGUAUUUGUCAGUCAUGUUGUGUAGCUACAUCUAUUGCCUAGGGAUUGCUUUCAUCAUCUGGAAGCCUGUUUAACAAAAAAUUUACCAAAACUCAUAGCUACACAAAGAUGACACAUAAGAUUGUUGCUUCAAGAGAAAGUCAUUUUAUGUGUAGCUGAUUCUAGUAGGCUUUAGAGCAAAGGUUUUUCUUCACUACACAGUUUUGGUUUCUUUUCUCUUCCCUAUUAAUUGAUUUAGAAAAGAGAAGCAGAAAGUGACUGAGAAGAGAAAGCAAAGAAAAGGGAGAGAGAACAGGUUUAUAAAUAGAUGGAUGUCUGAGGGAAGCUCAAUUCAAAGGAGCUGGAGUUGACAGUUAUUCUGAGCAAGGUCUUUGGAGUCAGACUGCUCUGGCUUCAUCACAUAUUCUUGCCUCAUUUCUACAUGUCAGGUAACUCCUCAGAUCCUCAUUUUCCUCCUUUGUAAAACAAAGCCACUAUUACUAUCCUAGUUACUAAGCAUUUAUUUAAUACUUGUAAAACAUUUUAGAAAAGUUCCUGGCACAUCUUAAGCGUUGGCUCUAUAUUUAUUAAAUAUAUAAUGAAUGAAGGUUAAAAAGAGAAUUUGGUUUGGGUAGAUUUGGGAAUUAAUAGAAAAUUUUAAAAAUAAAAGGUGUCAACUGAGAGUCUCAAAAGUAUAAGCUGAGGCCAUUGACCUUCUUAAUUUUGGCACAUCCUAUGACCCAGCAGCCAUCUAUAUGUAUACAUGCCAUGGAAACCCUCACAGUUUCCACACAGGUCAUCCUAUAAGUUGAUGAUGACUGAGGGUGAUGAAGGUACUAGUGGCUAGCACUUAAUUACAUUCUUAUUACAUGUUUGAUGAUUUUGUAAGUAAUUUUUCUGCAUGAAUCUUUUUACCCCUCUGGCUAACUAUAUGAGACAGUUUUUUAUAUUCUAAGCUUAGAGUUUCAGAUAAGUUUCUUUGCACAGAUAUACAGCUAUUCUAUCAGGGAUCUGAAAUUCAGGCCAAAAAUAUAAUCCAGACUCUCACUUUUACUGACUAGUCAUAGAAGUCAGAAAUAAGAUAUGUCAAGAUGGCUUUGUUCAGAAACAUUUAAAAAUGUUUCUGAAUGUAAAUCUAUGAAAAAUCAGAAAUUAUUCAGACUCCAAUAAAGAAAUGGUGUGUAUGUGUGUGGUGGUGGUGGUGGGGGCGGGUGGUUCCAGCCUCAAACAGCUCAGUUUGUCUCAAAUAAGACAGAUAAAUUAGCAAAACUGGCCAUUUAGUGAAACAGGUGCUGAUGUAGAAGCACAGAGAAUGGAUUUAAACUCUGUGCUGCAAGUGUAGAGUUCAGAUGAAGACAUAAUAGAGGAAGGAAACCAUAACCAUUGAAUGGUACUAAGGUCAAGAAGUUUGCUAGAGUGACAGGACUGGGUUUCAGAAAGAUGUUCCAAACAAAAGGAAUAAUAUGAAAAGUUUUAGAACAGUUACAUGCAAAUGAUAUCAAAAUAUGAAAGGAUGUGACUAAAGAAACAAGAACAGUUUGUAAAAUUUUCAUAACAAAAAAAAAUAAUUGAUGACACUGCAGUCUUCAAAUUCAUCCUAGAUUAUUAGGGAGAAGGUCCCUGAUCAGAUUUUCAUUCUCCUUUAUUUAUAAGAAAUAAAUAACCAAAAGAGGUGUUAAGGUUAUAACAGAAUAGGUUUUCAAUUUUGAACUUCAGUGUUCACUACUGUGGACAAUAUCAAAUUCAAACAAAUACACAGUUUCUUUCAACUUUGUUUCCCCAUGUGACUACAAGUUUUCUCACUUUUUUUUUCCUAUCUAUUCUGUGCACAGCUGCUGUUUUCUUUGUUUCUGAUGUUUCAACUCACUUAACAUUUCUUUCAUGCUCAAACCUCAGUAUUUCUCACACCUGGAAAAAGGAAUGCAAGUUCUUUCAUAUUUUAAAUUGAUAUGCGUUUGAUUUGGAACCUUUAGCUUAGAUUAAAUGCCUGGAAUUAUAUUCAAGCUUUUUUCCUCCUCAUUUUUUAUAAUCAUGUAAAUAAAUCCUUUAUUGUCCUUGACAAAAUCUCCUUUAAUAAAUACAUUUUAAAUGUAUUGGGGUACUAGUGGAAUGACUGCAGCCUUCCCUUUUAAUUUCAAAACAUAUGACAGCCUCCUAAUAUUGUUUGUACAAAAAAAAUAAAGUUUAUUGAUUUUAAAUUCUUUAGUUGAAAUAUUAUAGACAUCCUAAUGUUAAAAAAAAAUCAUUGUGUUUGGGUAAUUAGGAAGAAAAUAUGUUUUGUAACACUCUAACAAAUCUCAAAGAAAAGAUGACCCAGCAUAUAAAACAAAUUCAGUGGGAAAAAUAGAACUGCAGAUCAUCCAUCACUUGGGUAUUGUGACCUCUGCUGAAUCUACUAGCAAAUUCUGUGUUAUUGAAUCACAAUGACAGAGCCAAAUACAAAUGUCAUGACUUUGUUGUGUUCCCUAGGUCUUGCCAUAUCACCAUCACCAUUUUAUAUUCCCUUCCUGGGGACACUUUGGAAGAUUUAGAGGCUUUCAGCCUAAUCUAACUGGCUCCACACAAACAGCUGGUGCUUUGCCAAGAGCCCAGCCUGAUUAUGUCAACAAGGCGGCCUCCUCCACAAGGGAGCUCCAUCCGGGUGUGCGGAGUUUUGGGAACCUCCAUGAAUUAGCUUUAUAUGCUCCAAGAGGCAAUUUCCUACAAAAACAAACUUCAAAAGCUGCCAGAGGAAAUUGUUUCCCAUUGGAAACAGGCCUAACUGGCAAUUGUCUUUAGUGACUGUGUCAGUAUGGUAGGCAGUCUUCAGGGCAUACCAUACCUGGCCCUGACAUUCAGUUUCUCCACAGAACCACACCCAGUUCACAUUUCUGCAAUGAUUAUGGAGCACUUGUUCUGCACCCAAUUAUUUAAGCCAUUAUUUUUAAGUUUAAAAGUUAGCUAACUAUACACAUAUUUUCUGACCUCAACUUGCAGAGGGUUGCUGCUAUAAUUUAAAAGAAGGCAUUCUAUUAAACAUAGAAUACAAGUUAAGAAGAGAAGCACAAAGCUCUCUGCAGUUCAUUAGCCUUUUGCUGAAGUGUUAAAUGGAACAGCAGGAAGCUUCACUUACAGAUGUAUUUAAAUAUUAGUGGCAUUUAAGUAAGGGUUAUACAUUUUGACUAACUCUUCAUAGAGUGUUCUAGUUCAAAGGCCACCAGGAAGGUUAACCCUUAGAUUUCCAAUGUGCAAUGAGUUGGCAUCUUACAGACAACAGCAAAACAGUAUAUGCUAGUUUUUGUAGCUCCAAUAAAGAAAACAUCACAAGAUUUGAAAAGAUUCCAGUGUUCUCAACUUUUAUAAAAUUUAGAAAUUGUGCUUUGGAGUAUGUUUUUAUCACACAUACACAUCUAAAAUUUCAUAAACAUUUUGAAACAUCAUUAGGCAUAUAGAAAUUAUAUUCAGGACAACAAAUUGGCAAAUAAAUGUUGUAGGAACACAAAAACAUAAAUACUAUGUGUACAUGAAAUAGCCACAUUAUUGCCAAGGAAUGGAUUUUUACAACUUUUUCACUCUGUGAAAGCUAUUCUUUGCUUCCAGAGGGACCGAUAUUUUGGUAGCAAGUUGAUUGACCUUAAAUAUUUUUCAGCUUGUCAUCAGCUUUUCUAAUAGCACAAGUCACCGACAAGUCAUUUCUACCAUUGAUCAUCUGUUCUCCAUAUCUUUCUACACAGCACAAAGAAUUUGUUGAAAUCACAAAUUAAUAAAAAUGGCUUCCUUUCCCUAUUUGUACUUUGAAUCUCUUUUAAUCUCAUAAAAAUCUGACUAUGGAAACAUUAUUUGAUGCUUACUUUGCUCACACAAAUGUAACUUCUUUUUUAUAUGACAUUAAGUUAACUACAUACUAUAGAUAGAAAUAGGAAUGUAAAAGUCACUAUUCAAUCAUCUGUUCAAAAUUAAUUUUGCGUACGCAAGUUAAAAUAACCUUGUAGACAUUGUGAGGAAUAUGAAGAUAAGAAAAAAGCAACCACCCUCCAUUCUAUACUCCCUCAAUAAGAAAGACAGGAAAAGAAUGCAACAUGAUGUUGACCAAGAGAGGACCACUAGAGGAGGAUAGGAUUAUGAUGAUCCUGUACUGUGGGGUGGAGAGAGCAUCAGGCAAGAGGCUAUGGAGAACCUAGAAUUUCACCUAUAGAAAUAUGACUUAAAUAUGGAGACAGAUUAAAACUAUAAGAACUGGGCUCCAGGGAUAAAUUUCAUUUCAGUUUGUCAAAAGGAAGGAAGAAAGGAAGUAAGUUGGGGCAUAGUGCUCUGAGAAAUCAGUAAAGACAUUACAAUAGCUGUUUAGAGCAGCAUAGCUCUCCUUAAGUUUAUUUGCUUGGCAUUAAUGUGAAUGAUUGCUGGGAAGGGGAAGGACCCACUGGCUGGAAGUGGACAAAGUAGCAUUUUUGAUUUAAAAUCGGAAUAACAAGAACGAAAAAAAAGGAAGACCCAGUUGCAAAAAGACACAACAACAGAUUGUUUGAUGAUGUGAAGAAGCAGGACAUUAAGAUGUGGAGCCAGAGUAAUUUGGGAUGUGUUAGUUCCAUCAAGGGUACAGGGAGCACAGAAAAAAUACAGGUGACACUUGAAAUAAGUUCAGGGCUGUGCAUGAUUAGCACUGGUAUGAUAUCUUAAUGUCCUAAGCUCUUAGGAGAAUGAUCAGAGCCAGAGAAACAAUCUGAUUUGA
Molecule: RNA transcript, 29103 nt
Organism: Marmota monax (woodchuck)
Lineage: Eukaryota; Metazoa; Chordata; Mammalia; Rodentia; Sciuridae
Gene: Pcdh9
Gene name: protocadherin 9
Exons: 7
Source: RefSeq, a predicted model, not a curated record